Xiphophorus couchianus (Monterrey platyfish) is the source of this 1000-nucleotide long non-coding RNA. RefSeq lists it as uncharacterized. The record is from RefSeq and is a predicted model, not a curated record. NCBI's taxonomy places the organism in Eukaryota, Metazoa, Chordata, Actinopteri, Cyprinodontiformes, Poeciliidae. The transcript is spliced from 3 exons.
AAAUUUUUUAAUUUUUUUUUAUCAGGCACCAAUUUCCGCUUGGGAAAGAGCUGACAGCAGCACUUUCAGCUUUCCAGAGCCGCAGCACAUUGUGUUUGUUGGAUGAUAGAAUAAGCAGAGAAUUAUUUGCAGAUUUCUGAAGCAACCUUAAAGUCCGUUCAUGUUUCCUAAUAUUUCAUUCUGCUCAAGUCUUUCUGCCAUUUUCUGACCGUUUUGAUUUCGCCAGCUACAGAGGAGACCGAUUUUAUGUUACAACGGCCUGCCAUACCGGUGCGACGAAAAACAAAACUAUGCUCUGGUCUGCUGGCAUGUAGCAUAGAUAUGUUUGAGUAGAAGCCGCAUGCACUGCAGGGAGGCCGCCAUCUUGGAAAGGUCGCCCACUCGCUUUUAAUCAAUAACUCGCUGAACACUGAAGUGAUUUUCACGUCUACGACGCAAAACCUGUACAUAGAGCUAUCAUAACAAGAUGUAUAGCGACACUUUAAAAAAAAAUUUUUUUUUGUUUAAAUUGAAUUGCCACGACCCAUUUUUUUGUCUUGAAACCUUUAUUGAUUCCAGUCAUCGUUACAAACAUAACACAAUAUACUUGCAACUAGUUUGUUCGUUUGACUAUUUUUAUUAUUAUUUCUUUUUUAUUAAAGCUCCAGACAACUUUACUUCCUAAUUUGCUGCUAUUUAUUUUUUAGCAAAAGUAAAAUAAUUUCACGUCUGCGCAGUUAGCUUGGAGCCACUCAGUGGAUAUGCAGCGUGGGAAUCCACCCAUUCACUGUAUGUGUGCAGUGCUGCGUAUUUUGUGGGAAAAAAAACUGUCAUCAUACCAAGCAGCUGAAGAUGGAGAGGGAGAGAACAGCAUUGCUGGUUUGGUGGAAGACGCAGCUUGCAGACUAAAGAAGUGACACAAGGGGGCGCCCUCGAGCUACAAAAACCAUGAGCUUCAAAGGAAUUUAAAUGUUAUAAAAGAAAAAAAGUCCAUUUUAUGAAUAAACAUUUACGUGAAACA